Molecule: ribosomal RNA, 432 nt
Filed under: uncultured bacterium
Lineage: Bacteria
Description: partial 16S ribosomal RNA
Rfam family: Bacterial small subunit ribosomal RNA
Source: RNAcentral
AACGAACGCUGGCGGCAUGCCUAACACAUGCAAGUCGAACGAGACCUUCGGGUCUAGUGGCGCACGGGUGCGUAACGCGUGGGAAUCUGCCCUUGGGUUCGGAAUAACAGUGAGAAAUUACUGCUAAUACCGGAUGAUGUCUUCGGACCAAAGAUUUAUCGCCCAGGGAUGAGCCCGCGUAGGAUUAGCUAGUUGGUGGGUAAUGGCCUACCAAGGCGACGAUCCUUAGCUGGUCUGAGAGGAUGAUCAGCCACACUGGGACUGAGACACGGCCCAGACUCCUACGGGAGGCAGCAGUGGGGAAUAUUGGACAAUGGGCGCAAGCCUGAUCCAGCAAUGCCGCGUGAGUGAUGAAGGCCUUAGGGUUGUAAAGCUCUUUUACCCGGGAUGAUAAUGACAGUACCGGGAGAAUAAGCUCCGGCUAACUCCGUG